UCGGGUCUAGUGGCGCACGGGUGCGUAACGCGUGGGAAUCUGCCCUUGGGUUCGGAAUAACAGUGAGAAAUUGCUGCUAAUACCGGAUGAUGUCUUCGGACCAAAGAUUUAUCGCCCAGGGAUGAGCCCGCGUAGGAUUAGCUAGUUGGUGGGGUAAUGGCCUACCAAGGCGACGAUCUUUAGCUGGUCUGAGAGGAUGAUCAGCCACACUGGGACUGAGACACGGCCCAGGCUCCUACGGGAGGCAGCAGUGGGGAAUAUUGGACAAUGGGCGAAAGCCUGAUUCAGCAAUGCCGCGUGAGUGAUGAAGGCCUUAGGGUUGUAAAGCUCUUUUACCAGAGAUGAUAAUGACGGUACCUGGAGAAUAAGCCCCGGCUAACUCCGUGCCAGCAGCCGCGGUAAU
This 403-nucleotide ribosomal RNA is filed under the name uncultured Sphingomonas sp. RNAcentral's name for it is "bacterial SSU rRNA". It matches the Rfam family "Bacterial small subunit ribosomal RNA", at positions 86 to 524 of the family's 1533-position model. The record is from RNAcentral. Lineage: Bacteria; Pseudomonadati; Pseudomonadota; Alphaproteobacteria; Sphingomonadales; Sphingomonadaceae.